CAAUAGCGUAUAUCAAAGUUGUUGCGGUAAAAAAGCUCGUAGUUGGAUUUCUGUUGAGAGCGACCGGUCCAUACCAUGUAUGCGUAUCUGGCUUGCUCUCGGCAUCCUCUCGAUAGACGUUGCUGCGCUUGAUUGCGUGGCGCGGAUCUCGGGACUUUUACUUUGAGGAAAUUAGAGUGUUCACGGCAGGCUUUCGCCAGAAUACAUUAGCAUGGAAUAAUACUAUAGGAUCUUGGUUCUAUUUUGUUGGUUUCUAGAAUUGAGAUAAUGAUUAAUAGGGACAAUUGGGGGCAUUCGUAUCAACACGUCAGAGGUGGAAUUCUUGGAUUGUGUUGCGACGAACUACUGCGAAAGCAUUUGCCAAGGAUGUUUUCAUUGA
RNAcentral lists this ribosomal RNA (379 nucleotides) under uncultured eukaryote. RNAcentral's name for it is "partial 18S ribosomal RNA". It matches the Rfam family "Eukaryotic small subunit ribosomal RNA", at positions 592 to 976 of the family's 1831-position model. The record is from RNAcentral.